Molecule: ribosomal RNA, 1241 nt
Filed under: metagenome
Description: bacterial LSU rRNA
Rfam family: Bacterial large subunit ribosomal RNA
Source: RNAcentral
UGAGUACGAGAUGCUACGGCGUCGAAGCAGUCUAGGUCAUACUUCCAAGAAAAGCUUGCACUGUCAUAAACAAAGAAUGCCUGUACCAUAACCGACACAGGUGGGUAGGUAGAGUAUACUAAGGGGCGCGAGAUAACUCUCUCUAAGGAACUCGGCAAAAUGACUCCGUAACUUCGGGAGAAGGAGUGCCUUAUUUUUAAGGUUGCAAUAACAAGAUCCAAGCAACUGUUUACCAAAAACACAGGUCUCCGCUAAGUCGUAAGACGAUGUAUGGGGGCUGACGCCUGCCCAGUGCCAGAAGGUUAAAGAAGUUGGUUAGCAUUUGCGAAGCUGAUAACUGAAGCCCUGGUGAACGGCGGCCGUAACAAUAACGGUCCUAAGGUAGCGAAAUUCCUUGUCGGGUAAGUUCCGACCCGCACGAAAGGCGUAAUGAUUUGGAUACUGUCUCGGAGAGGGGCUCGGUGAAAUAGACUUGUCUGUGAAGAUGCGGACUACCUGCACCUGGACAGAAAGACCCUAUGAAGCUUUACUGUAACUUGAGAUUGAAAUUGGACUUUAUUUGCGCAGUAUAGGUGGGAGGCGUUGAGAAUAAUCUUGCGGGAUUAUCGGAGCCAUCAGUGAGAUACCACUCUUGUAAUGUUAGAUUUCUAACUUUGUAUCAUUAUCUGGUCAAAGAACAGUUUCAGGCGGGCAGUUUGACUGGGGCGGUCGCCUCCCAAAGGGUAACGGAGGCGCACAAAGGUUUCCUCUGAACGGGUAGAAAUCGUAUCUAGAGUGUAAAGGCAUAAGGAAGCUUGACUGUGAGACCUACAAGUCGAGCAGGGACGAAAGUCGGUCUUAGUGAUCUGACGGUGCUGAGUGGAAAGGCCGUCACUCAACGGAUAAAAGUUACUCUAGGAUAACAGGCUGAUCUCCCCCAAGAGUUCACAUCGACGGGGAGGUUUGGCACCUCGAUGUCGGCUCAUCGCAUCCUGGGGCGGUAGUACGUCCCAAGGGUUGGGCUGUUCGCCCAUGAAAGCGGUACGCGAGCUGGGUUCAGAACGUCGUGAGACAGUUCGGUCCAUAUCCGGUGUAGGCGUUAGAGUAUUGAAAGGAGCCUUCUCUAGUACGAGAGGACCGAGAAGGACAUACCUCUGGUGUGCCAGUUAUCGUGCCAACGGUAAACGCUGGGUAGCUAUGUAUGGAGUGGAUAACCGCUGAAAGCAUCUAAGUGGGAAGCCCACCUUAAGAUAAGUAUUCCC